AGAAUCAACGCUGGCGGCGUGCCUAACACAUGCAAGUCGAACGAGAAAGUGGAGCAAUCCAUGAGUAAAGUGGCGCACGGGUGAGUAACACGUGACUAACCUACCCUUGAGUGGGGGAUAACCUAGAGAAAUCUGGGCUAAUACCGCAUAAUACCUUCGGGUCAAAGGAGCAAUUCGCUUAAGGAGGGGGUCGCGGCCGAUUAGUUAGUUGGCGGGGUAAUGGCCCACCAAGACUAUGAUCGGUAUCCGGCCUGAGAGGGCGCACGGACACACUGGAGCUGAAACACGGUCCAGACUCCUACGGGAGGCAGCAGUGGGGAAUUUUGCGCAAUGGGGGAAACCCUGACGCAGCAACGCCGCGUGGAGGAUGAAGUCCCUUGGGACGUAAACUCCUUUCGAUCGGGACGAUUAUGACGGUACCGGAGAAGAAGCCCCGGCUAACUUCGCGCCAGCAGCCGC
This 459-nucleotide ribosomal RNA is filed under the name uncultured bacterium. RNAcentral describes it as "SSU rRNA". It matches the Rfam family "Bacterial small subunit ribosomal RNA", at positions 26 to 518 of the family's 1533-position model. The record is from RNAcentral.